GAUUCUGGCUCAGAAUCAACGCUGGCGGCGUGCCUAACACAUGCAAGUCGAACGAGAAAGUGGAGCAAUCCAUGAGUAAAGUGGCGACCGGGUGAGUAACACGUGACUAACCUACCCUACAGUGGGGGAUAACUCCGGGAAACCGGGGCUAAUACCGCAUAACACCGAGAGGUCAAAGGAGCAAUUCGCUGAAGGAGGGGGUCGCGGCUGAUUAGCUAGUUGGUGAGGUAACGGCUCACCAAGGCAAUGAUCAGUAGCCGGCCUGAGAGGGCGCACGGCCACACUGGAACUGAAACACGGUCCAGACUCCUACGGGAGGCAGCAGUGGGGAAUUUUGCGCAAUGGGGGAAACCCUGACGCAAGCAACGCCGCGUGGAGGAUGAAGUCCCUUGGGAUGUAAACUCCUUUCGAUCGGGACGAUUAUGACGGUACCGGAAGAAGAAGCACCGGCUAACUCUGUGCCAGCAGCUGC
This 472-nucleotide ribosomal RNA is filed under the name uncultured bacterium. RNAcentral describes it as "bacterial SSU rRNA". It matches the Rfam family "Bacterial small subunit ribosomal RNA", at positions 15 to 518 of the family's 1533-position model. The record is from RNAcentral.